RNAcentral lists this ribosomal RNA (429 nucleotides) under Chloroflexota bacterium. Its description in RNAcentral is "Chloroflexi bacterium partial 16S ribosomal RNA". It matches the Rfam family "Bacterial small subunit ribosomal RNA", at positions 355 to 776 of the family's 1533-position model. Lineage: Bacteria; Bacillati; Chloroflexota. The record is from RNAcentral.
UGGGGAAUAUUGCACAAUGGGCGCAAGCCUGAUGCAGCCAUGCCGCGUGUGUGAAGAAGGCCUUCGGGUUGUAAAGCACUUUCAGCGGGGAGGAAGGCGUUAAGGUUAAUAACCUUGGCGAUUGACGUUACCCGCAGAAGAAGCACCGGCUAACUCCGUGCCAGCAGCCGCGGUAAUACGGAGGGUGCAAGCGUUAAUCGGAAUUACUGGGCGUAAAGCGCACGCAGGCGGUCUGUCAAGUCGGAUGUGAAAUCCCCGGGCUCAACCUGGGAACUGCAUUCGAAACUGGCAGGCUAGAGUCUUGUAGAGGGGGGUAGAAUUCCAGGUGUAGCGGUGAAAUGCGUAGAGAUCUGGUGGAAUAACGGUGGCGAAGGCGGCCCCCCGGACAAAGACUGACGCUCAGGUGCGAAAGCGUGGGGAGCAAACAGG